UGGAAAACACAGCUAUUUGUUUGGUAGGAAAAUACACUUGUCAAAUGUCAAUGAAUCACUGAACUGACAGCUAUUCCCGUCGUGUUGCCAGCACCUUCUGUCCACAUUUCUCGACUUAUGUCGAGACGGGGACCGUGUGAUAUUAAAAUAAAUAUUAUGUUCCUUGUCAAACGAGUGAUUGUUGUCUCUGAACAUUCCCUCUAUUCUAAUAAAUAUUAUUUUCCGCUUGUCCAGCGAAUUUCAUUGCGCUUUAAAUUAAUUCCCGUAACACGAAACGACGUCGAGUGUUCCGAGGAAGUACCCGGAUUGGGACCUUGGCAACACCGAAGAGGAAGCGAGAAAAAAGAUGGACCAACGCCAUUUGGAAGACAGAUUUUCUCCCAAGAAUAGGCCGACAGGCCGCCUUUGAGUGUUUUGGACGAUUUUAUUCCCUUGCUGCCCUUGUUCGGCAGAAAAGCGGGCCGUGACUAACCGGCUUCCGCGGGCGCCGGGCGCGUCUCUGUCCCCUUGGAGUUGACAUUUGCUCACCGUAAACCCCCCGCAGGACAAUUUUCCUCCGACAGGAGGUGUUUGGUAGAGGCGUGGCCGUUGGAGGGCCAGACCCAGCGCUGCGGCUCCUCGUGGUUCCGACUGGCAGGUGCGGAGUGACUGGAAGCUCCGGCCAGCUGAGAGG
Molecule: long non-coding RNA, 673 nt
Organism: Leguminivora glycinivorella
Lineage: Eukaryota; Metazoa; Arthropoda; Insecta; Lepidoptera; Tortricidae
Exons: 3
Source: RefSeq, a predicted model, not a curated record